CAUAUCAAUAAGCGGAGGAAAAGAAACCAACAGGGAUUGCCCCAGUAACGGCGAGUGAAGCGGCAACAGCUCAAAUUUGAAAUCUGGCUCCCUCGGGCGCCCGAGUUGUAAUUUGCAGAGGGUGCUUUGGCGUCGGCAGCGGCCUAAGUUCCUUGGAACAGGGCGUCACAGAGGGUGAGAACCCCGUACGUGGCCGCCCGCCUUCGCCGUGUAAAGCCCCUUCGACGAGUCGAGUUGUUUGGGAAUGCAGCUCUAAAUGGGAGGUAAAUUCCUUCUAAAGCUAAAUACUGGCCAGAGACCGAUAGCGCACAAGUAGAGUGAUCGAAAGAUGAAAAGCACUUUGGAAAGAGAGUCAAAAAGCACGUGAAAUUGUUGAAAGGGAAGCGCUUGCAGCCAGACUUGCCCGCGGCGGAUCCUCCUCCGCGGGCAGGCCAGCAUCAGUCUGGGCGGUCGGAUAAAGGCCUCGGGAAUGUAGCUCUCUCCGGGGAGUGUUAUAGCCCGGGGCGCCAUGCGGCCAGCCCGGACUGAGGUCCGCGCAUCUGCUAGGAUGCUGGCGUAAUGGCUGUAAGCGGCCCGUCUUGAAACACGGACCAAGGAGUCUAACAUCUAUGCGAGUGUUUGGGUGUCAAGCCCGGGCGCGCAAUGAAAGUGAACGGAGGUGGGAACCCCUCGGGGCGCACCAUCGACCGAUCCUGAUGUCUUCGGAUGGAUUUGAGUAAGAGCAUAGCUGUUGGGACCCGAAAGAUGGUGAACUAUGCCUGAAUAGGGUGAAGCCAGAGGAAACUCUGGUGGAGGCUCGCAGCGGUUCUGACGUGCAAAUCGAUCGUCAAAUUUGGGCAUAGGGGCGAAAGACUAAUCGAACUAUCUAGUAGCUGGUUCCUGCCGAAGUUUCCCUCAGGAUAGCAGUAACGUUUUCAGUUUUAUGAGGUAAAGCGAAUGAUUAGAGGCCUGGGGGUUGAAACAACCUUCACCUAUUCUCAAACUUUAAAUAUGUAAGAAGUCC
Molecule: ribosomal RNA, 1003 nt
Filed under: Anteaglonium globosum
Lineage: Eukaryota; Fungi; Ascomycota; Dothideomycetes; Pleosporales; Anteagloniaceae
Description: eukaryotic LSU rRNA
Rfam family: Eukaryotic large subunit ribosomal RNA
Source: RNAcentral